Molecule: ribosomal RNA, 253 nt
Filed under: uncultured bacterium
Lineage: Bacteria
Description: partial 16S ribosomal RNA
Rfam family: Bacterial small subunit ribosomal RNA
Source: RNAcentral
UACAGAGGGGGCAAGCGUUAUCCGGAAUUACUGGGUUUAAAGGGUGCGUAGGCGGCCAUGUAAGUCAGGAGUGAAAGUUUGCGGCUCAACCGUAAAAUUGCUUUUGAUACUGCAUGGCUGGAAUCAGGAUGAGGUCAGCGGAAUGUGGCAUGUAGCGGUGAAAUGCAUAGAUAUGCCAUAGAACACCAAUUGCGAAGGCAGCUGGCUAGACCUGUAUUGACGCUGAGGCACGAAAGCGUGGGGAGCGAACAGG